GCACUGCUGAGGAGUCCCAUAAUAGGACGAAACGGGUGUCCAGUGC
Schistosoma mansoni is the source of this 46-nucleotide non-coding RNA. The record is from Rfam. Lineage: Eukaryota; Metazoa; Platyhelminthes; Trematoda; Strigeidida; Schistosomatidae.